Molecule: ribosomal RNA, 760 nt
Filed under: Streptomyces sp. TWS-30
Lineage: Bacteria; Bacillati; Actinomycetota; Actinomycetes; Kitasatosporales; Streptomycetaceae
Description: bacterial SSU rRNA
Rfam family: Bacterial small subunit ribosomal RNA
Source: RNAcentral
UAACGAUGAACCACUUCGGUGGGGAUUAUUCGCGAACGGGUGAGUAACACGUGGGCAAUCUGCCCUUCACUCUGGGACAAGCCCUGGAAACGGGGUCUAAUACCGGAUAACACUUCCACUCUCCUGAGUGGAGGUUGAAAGCUCCGGCGGUGAAGGAUGAGCCCGCGGCCUAUCAGCUUGUUGGUGAGGUAAUGGCUCACCAAGGCGACGACGGGUAGCCGGCCUGAGAGGGCGACCGGCCACACUGGGACUGAGACACGGCCCAGACUCCUACGGGAGGCAGCAGUGGGGAAUAUUGCACAAUGGGCGCAAGCCUGAUGCAGCGACGCCGCGUGGGGGAUGACGGCCUUCGGGUUGUAAACCUCUUUCAGCAGGGAAGAAGCGCAAGUGACGGUACCUGCAGAAGAAGCGCCGGCUAACUACGUGCCAGCAGCCGCGGUAAUACGUAGGGCGCAAGCGUUGUCCGGAAUUAUUGGGCGUAAAGAGCUCGUAGGCGGCUUGUCACGUCGGGUGUGAAAGCUCGGGGCUUAACCCCGGGUCUGCAUUCGAUACGGGCUGGCUGGAGUGUGGUAGGGGAGAUCGGAAUUCCUGGUGUAGCGGUGAAAUGCGCAGAUAUCAGGAGGAACACCGGUGGCGAAAGCGGAUCUCUGGGCCAUUACUGACGCUGAAGAGCGAAAGCGUGGGAGCGACAAGAAUAAAUACCUGGUAGUCCACCCGUAACGGUGGCACUAGGGUGGGCACAUUCACGUUGUCGUGCCCA